GUGCGCUAGCGCAGUGGUGGUGUGUCUGGCGGACGACCAGUGGGUCGUGGGUUCGACUCCCACACCACC
Molecule: transfer RNA, 69 nt
Filed under: Hordeum vulgare
Lineage: Eukaryota; Viridiplantae; Streptophyta; Magnoliopsida; Poales; Poaceae
Description: tRNA-Val
Source: RNAcentral